GAGUUUGAUCAUGGCUCAGGAUGAACGCUGGCGGCGUGCCUAAUACAUGCAAGUCGAACGAACAGAUAAGGAGCUUGCUCCUUUGACGUUAGCGGCGGACGGGUGAGUAACACGUGGGUAACCUACCUAUAAGACUGGAAUAACUCCGGGAAACCGGGGCUAAUGCCGGAUAACAUGUUGAACCGCAUGGUUCUACAGUGAAAGACGGUCUUGCUGUCACUUAUAGAUGGACCCGCGCCGUAUUAGCUAGUUGGUGGGGUAACGGCCUACCAAGGCGACGAUACGUAGCCGACCUGAGAGGGUGAUCGGCCACACUGGAACUGAGACACGGUCCAGACUCCUACGGGAGGCAGCAGUAGGGAACCUUCCGCAAUGGGCGAAAGCCUGACGGAGCAACGCCGCGUGAGUGAUGAGGGUCUUCGGAUCGUAAAGCUCUGUUGUUAGGGAAGAACAAAUGUGUAAGUAACUGUGCAUAUCUUGACGGUACCUAACCAGAAAGCCACGGCUAACUACGUGCCAGCCGCCGCCGUAAG
This 533-nucleotide ribosomal RNA is filed under the name uncultured microorganism. RNAcentral's name for it is "bacterial SSU rRNA". It matches the Rfam family "Bacterial small subunit ribosomal RNA", at positions 9 to 524 of the family's 1533-position model. The record is from RNAcentral.